This is a long non-coding RNA of Pristis pectinata (smalltooth sawfish), 399 nucleotides long. RefSeq lists it as uncharacterized. The transcript is spliced from 3 exons. The record is from RefSeq and is a predicted model, not a curated record. Lineage: Eukaryota; Metazoa; Chordata; Chondrichthyes; Rhinopristiformes; Pristidae.
GUCGGUUAAUUUGUCGGUGUUCACAACCGCAUCAGUUCUAUGUGCAUGCUGCUGAAAAUAACAAGUGAUUUAUGGUGGACCUGGCUAUAUCAGAAACUACAAACUGAUUCAUUCAUCACUGGCCUUAAAAAAAUUAUUUCACAAGAUGUUCUGAACUCCAGCACAGCUGAUCUCCACUUGAUGACGGUGCAAAUUCUCCAGUUACACAAAGCGACCUGCCUCCUGAACAUCCAUUCAUUUCAAUGGAGAGGAACAGCUGCAAGGGAGAGAGGGAAAUGUUCUGAAGUCAUUGGGAUGGAAACCCCAAUGCACAGGAACACAAGAGGCUACAGAGAGCAGUGGGACUCAGCCAGUUCCAUCACGGGUACAGCUCUCCCCACCAUCGAGGACAUCUACAAG